RNAcentral lists this ribosomal RNA (471 nucleotides) under uncultured bacterium. Its description in RNAcentral is "SSU rRNA". It matches the Rfam family "Bacterial small subunit ribosomal RNA", at positions 26 to 518 of the family's 1533-position model. The record is from RNAcentral.
AGGACAAACGCUGGCGGCGUGCCUAAGACAUGCAAGUCGAACGGAAGGCUUCGGCCUUUAGUGGCGGACGGGUGAGGAGCGCGUGGAGAACCUGCCCCGGGUGGGGGAGUAACAGUCGGAAACGAUUGCUAAGACCGCAUACGACCAUUCGUUGCAGGAUGAAUGGGGAAAGCAGCGAUGUGCCCUGGGAGGGCUCCGCGUCGGAUUAGCUAGUUGGUGGGGUAACGGCCUACCAAGGCUGCGAUCCGUAGCUGGUCUGAGAGGACGGCCAGCCACACUGGGACUGAGACACGGGCCCAGACUCCUACGGGAGGCAGCAGUUAGGGAAUUUUUGUCAAUGGGGCGAAAGCCUGAACGAGUGACGCCGCGUGCGGGAUGACGCCUUUCGGGGUGUAAACCGGCUUUUCCCAAGGACGAGGAUGGACGGUACGUUGGGGAAUAAGUCUCGGCUAACUACGCGCCAGCAGCCGC